UACGUAUGGGGCAAGCGUUGUUCGGAAUCAUUGGGCGUAAAGGGCACGCAGGCGGACUGUUAAGUUGGAUGUAUAAUCUUCAGGCUCAACCUGAUUCCUGCAUUCAAUACUGGCGGUCUAGAGUCUCGGAGAGGAAAGCGGAAUUCUCGGUGUAGCGGUGGAAUGCGUAGAUAUCGAGAGGAACACCAAUGGCGAAGGCAGCUUUCUGGACGAUGACUGACGCUCAGGUGCGAAAGCGUGGGGAGCAAACAGG
RNAcentral lists this ribosomal RNA (253 nucleotides) under uncultured bacterium. RNAcentral's name for it is "partial 16S ribosomal RNA". It matches the Rfam family "Bacterial small subunit ribosomal RNA", at positions 524 to 776 of the family's 1533-position model. The record is from RNAcentral.